AUGCAAGUCGAGGGGUAGAAGCAGCUUGCUGCUUUGAGACCGGCGCACCGGUGCGUAACGCGUAUGCAAUCUACCUUUUACAGAGGGAUAGCCCAGAGAAAUUUGGAUUAAUACCUCAUAGUAUGUGAGAAUCGCAUGGUUUUCACAUUAAAGUUCCAACGGUAAAAGAUGAGCAUGCGUCCCAUUAGCUAGAUGGUAAGGUAACGGCUUACCAUGGCGACGAUGGGUAGGGGUCCUGAGAGGGAGAUCCCCCACACUGGUACUGAGACACGGACCAGACUCCUACGGGAGGCAGCAGUGAGGAAUAUUGGACAAUGGGCGCAAGCCUGAUCCAGCCAUGCCGCGUGCAGGAUGACGGUCCUAUGGAUUGUAAACUACUUUUGUACAGGAAGAAACACUCCCUCGUGAGGGAGCUUGACGGUACUGUAAGAAUAAGGAUCGGCUAACUCCGUGCCAGCAGCCGCGGUAAUACGGAGGAUCCAAGCGUUAUCCGGAAUCAUUGGGUUUAAAGGGUCCGUAGGCGGUUUAAUAAGUCAGUGGUGAAAGCCCAUCGCUCAACGGUGGAACGGCCAUUGAUACUGUUAAACUUGAAUUAUUAGGAAGUAACUAGAAUAUGUAGUGUAGCGGUGAAAUGCUUAGAGAUUACAUGGAAUACCAAUUGCGAAGGCAGGUUACUACUAAUGGAUUGACGCUGAUGGACGAAAGCGUGGGUAGCGAACAGGAUUAGAUACCCUGGUAGUCCACGCCGUAAACGAUGGAUACUAGCUGUUGGGAGCAAUCUCAGUGGCUAAGCGAAAGUGAUAAGUAUCCCACCUGGGGAGUACGUUCGCAAGAAUGAAACUCAAAGGAAUUGACGGGGGCCCGCACAAGCGGUGGAGCAUGUGGUUUAAUUCGAUG
Molecule: ribosomal RNA, 897 nt
Filed under: uncultured Flavobacteriaceae bacterium
Lineage: Bacteria; Pseudomonadati; Bacteroidota; Flavobacteriia; Flavobacteriales; Flavobacteriaceae
Description: bacterial SSU rRNA
Rfam family: Bacterial small subunit ribosomal RNA
Source: RNAcentral